Molecule: non-coding RNA, 133 nt
Organism: Camelina sativa (false flax)
Lineage: Eukaryota; Viridiplantae; Streptophyta; Magnoliopsida; Brassicales; Brassicaceae
Source: RefSeq, a predicted model, not a curated record
CAAAAACAGAGUAAGGAGAAAGAGAGAGAGAGAAGCAAACAUGAUAAAGAGAGAGGCAAACUUGAGAGAGAUUUACGACGACAAAUUCUGGUCUAAAGAGCAUACUAAUACCCUACAGAAGCUACCUUUUGAA